This 341-nucleotide long non-coding RNA is filed under the name Prunus persica (peach). RNAcentral describes it as "long non-coding RNA (PPER_LNC008790)". Lineage: Eukaryota; Viridiplantae; Streptophyta; Magnoliopsida; Rosales; Rosaceae. The record is from RNAcentral.
ACGAAGUUCGUUCUGAAAUGGGGUGGUUGGUGUAUUGUAUAGUUCUAGAGAUUUGAUUUCAUUCAAAACCCACCAAAUGACUCCUCCCACAAUAUUAUGUUGUUCCCCAAGUUUUGGACUCAAUCCGAUAUCGAUUGGUCCUUGAAAUCGGACAAUUCAGGUUCGUACGAAGUUCGUUCUGAAAUGGGGUGAUUGGUGUAUUGUAUUGUUCUAGAGAUUGGAUUUCACUAAAAACCCACCAAAUGACUCCUCCCACAAUACUAUGAUGUUCCCCAAGUUUUGGACUCAAUCCGAUAUCGAUUGGUCCUUGAAAUCGGACAAUUCAGGUUCAUACGAAGUUC